GAUGAAGAACGCAGUGAAAUGCGAUAAGUAAUGUGAAUUGCAGAAUUCAGUGAAUCAUCGAAUCUUUGAACGCACAUUGCGCCCCCUGGUAUUCCGGGGGGCAUGCCUGUUCGAGCGUCAUUUCACCACUCAAGCCUCGCUUGGUAUUGGGCAACGCGGUCCGCCGCGUGCCUCAAAUCGACCGGCUGGGUCUUCUGUCCCCUAAGCGUUGUGGAGACUAUUCGCUAAAGGGUGUUCGGGAGGCUACGCCGUAAAACAACCCCAUUUCUAAGGUUGACCUCGGAUCAGGUAGGGAUACCCGCUGAACUUAAGCAUAUCAAUAAGCGGAGGA
RNAcentral lists this unclassified non-coding RNA (331 nucleotides) under soil metagenome. RNAcentral's name for it is "partial contains 5.8S ribosomal RNA, internal transcribed spacer 2, and large subunit ribosomal RNA". The stretch from base 1 to 120 matches the Rfam family "5.8S ribosomal RNA", at positions 35 to 154 of the family's 154-position model. The record is from RNAcentral.